GCACAUGAGCAGUUUCACUUGGUUCUGCCUUCCCCGAUAAGGCUAAUCGCGAGACGAACCAAAUGGCCUUCCAAGUUGCCCCUUUCUGGGCAUAUGCAUAUGUGACGUCAGCUAAGGGCUAAGGCCCAAAGAAAAAAAGCAGGCUUAGAUGGCAAAGAGGAAGCAGAACAGUGAGAACUGAAGCUGUCUGCCAACAUCUGUGAUCUUCUUCUGAGAGUUGUGCUCGGAAUUUGGGGGUCAGCGUUUCGCUUUUCUGUGCUGUACAUCGUGUUGGCGUCUGUUCAUCCAUCACCAACGGGACUGCUGCCACCCAAUUUAAUGGCGAUGGAGGGACUAUGGAUGUCUAAGGAAAGGGGACUGCAAGGAAAUGCUGCCUUGAAAGGUGGAAGCAAACAGCAAAAGAUUCACAGCUACACGCUCUCAAAUCUGAGUGAUGUUGAGAGCAUUACCCCUACCGAUCUUCUUUGACAAUUUUGUUCUUGUUGAAGUUAAUCUAGAUGGCUAAGGACAGUAUAGAUUGCAGAACUUGACUAGUCUUCUCCGCACUUUGAAAUUUGUCUCUUUUGUUUCAAUUUUUCAUUUCCUUAGUUUUUCUUGUCAGGUUGAAGAUUGUUAUGGGGAGAUCUUGCAGUACCAUUGAUGAAAGGAGAGCUCUUUGUCCUUUGUGAA
Phragmites australis (common reed) is the source of this 669-nucleotide long non-coding RNA. RefSeq lists it as uncharacterized. Lineage: Eukaryota; Viridiplantae; Streptophyta; Magnoliopsida; Poales; Poaceae. The transcript has 2 exons. The record is from RefSeq and is a predicted model, not a curated record.